GGAGAAGGGCCAUAGCUCAGUGGUAGAGCAUGUGUCUUGCAAGCAGAAGGUCCCUGGUUCAAUCCCUGGCACCUCCA
This 77-nucleotide transfer RNA is filed under the name Podarcis lilfordi (Lilford's wall lizard). RNAcentral's name for it is "tRNA.Ala". It matches the Rfam family "tRNA". From Rfam's summary of the family: Transfer RNA (tRNA) molecules are approximately 80 nucleotides in length. Their secondary structure includes four short double-helical elements and three loops (D, anti-codon, and T loops). Lineage: Eukaryota; Metazoa; Chordata; Lepidosauria; Squamata; Lacertidae. The record is from RNAcentral.